Molecule: long non-coding RNA, 398 nt
Organism: Bos taurus (domestic cattle)
Lineage: Eukaryota; Metazoa; Chordata; Mammalia; Artiodactyla; Bovidae
Source: Ensembl
UGGGAUAUCAUGAGGCAAACUGGCAAAGUGGAGAAAAGAGCAAAUGGAGAAUAAUUGACCUGAGAGGUCCCCCAGGGGGGUCCCUCAAACCACUGCACAGAACAGAGAGCUGGCAUGGAGAAGGAAAUCCUUUAUCUGUGUUCUGGGCCGUCGUGACAUUUGGAUGAGGUCGAGCAAGGAAGGAGGCUGUCUUUGGGGCAGACAAAGUGCACAGCCCCACUUUGACACACCCUUGGAAGCCAUCUCCUGCCUGCUGUUCUGGGCUCUCAUUGCAUCCGUGGCCCUUUCUCCCCAACCUGGAGACAGCUGGAUGCGAGCUCCUGCCCGGCCCACCACAACCCCUGGCUGCCUCCCUCUGAGGAAAUAAAACCAAGUCAAGCAUCCCACCCAAACCUCAG